Acanthosepion pharaonis is the source of this 100-nucleotide non-coding RNA. The record is from the annotation of a GenBank genome assembly. NCBI's taxonomy places the organism in Eukaryota, Metazoa, Mollusca, Cephalopoda, Sepiida, Sepiidae.
UGUUGAAACACUGGUUGCUGUAUGAUCACUGAAGUUAAGCUAUAUUGAGCCUAGUCAGUACCUAGAUAGGUGACCACUUGGAAAUACCAGGUGCUGUAAG